Molecule: transfer RNA, 77 nt
Filed under: Coprobacillus sp. AF13-4LB
Lineage: Bacteria; Bacillati; Bacillota; Erysipelotrichia; Erysipelotrichales; Coprobacillaceae
Description: tRNA-Asp
Rfam family: tRNA
About the family: Transfer RNA (tRNA) molecules are approximately 80 nucleotides in length. Their secondary structure includes four short double-helical elements and three loops (D, anti-codon, and T loops).
Source: RNAcentral
GGUCUGGUAGUUCAGUUGGUUAGAAUGCCGCCCUGUCACGGCGGAGGUCGCGGGUUCGAAUCCCCCUCCCGCUACCA